UAAUAUUAAUAUUUAAUUAACAUUAAAGGAUGGUUUUAGAAUAUAAAGAAAAGAAUGUUAGUCAAUGUGCCUUGUACCACUUACCAUAAACAUUAAUUAGGCUAUAGCAAAACUGUAUAUACCUUUAGAAUUCCUCCCCUUCCUUUAGGUAUAAUGCUGAUUUUUCUCCCUCAAAUUUAAUCAACAUACAGGAGUAAAUUUGAACAUAUGAGAUACAUUGUGAAAGGAAAUAUUAUUCUUGUGUAUGUUGGGGUCGAACACUAAAAUAAAAAGAAUUUUUAAGGGGCAUAUCAAUUAAUGUCAAAAGACUGAUCAAGAAAACUAAUUUUUCUAAAUAAAAUUAAUACACCACUGUACUUUGAAAUGAUUUAUAUUUUGUUGCCCAUGCACUUAAAAUUUUUUUAAUUUUUUUCAAGUAAAGAUCGAAUAUUUUCUUGUUCAAGAAGCUUGUUGAUAGCUUUUAAUCUUCUCUGUGAAAAAAUGAUGCAAAGAAGAGUCCAGAACCUCGAUUUAUUUUCUUGUCAAAUAGACAAAGAUCGAAUAUUUUCUUGUUCAAGAAGCUUGUUGAUAGCUUUUAAUCUUCUCUGUGAAAAAAUGAUGCAAAGAAGAGUCCAGAACCUCGAUUUAUUUUCUUGUCAAAUAGACAAAGGUGACAACGAACUGGGGCUUUGUACUUGUAUCUUCUUUGAUCCAGCAGAUGAGGAUGGAAAGGAACCAGGGGUUUUUAUAACUGAAAUUAUUGAAGGAGGUGCAGUUCACAAACUUGGAUGUAUCCGUGUAUUUGACCAGAUUAUUAAAAUAGGUGACAUCAAUCUAAUUGGAUUGGAUGAAGCAGAAAUCGUCUCUACUUUUAAAAAAAUGGACGAUUCUCCUUUCCAGAUUGAAAUUGGCCGCGAACCACCUAAAGUGAAGUCAGAACUUAUCGAACUCCUCGAGUUGUCAGAGGAAAGGAAGAAAUAUUUUAUGGAUUCGCUCAUAGUACAGGAAAAAAUUAGAGAUAUCACUAUUGUGAGAGGACAAGCAAGUAUUUGUAGAAGUCCAAGAGUACCAUGGUACUGGAUGGCCAGCGACCUGAAAUUUGUUAUUGGGGCACUGAAAAUAUUAAUAGAAGAAGAUCAGGGAUGUAGAAAAAACAUCCAAGCUAUCUUUGAGCAGGCUAACAUUUUUCAAGACAAAUAUAAAGACAUGAACACAUACAAAGUGAAUAUGGAACAGAAACCUGAUGAAUCAAAUAAAGAAGGCACAUUUUUACCAUUGGCCCCAGAAGAAGAAUUAUUACUAGAACAAUUUAAAAUAAAACCUAAAGAGAUAAAAAAUGAAGAUUUAUCACCAGGGCAAUUAUUAGCCCAAGGGGAUUUCAAUUCAGGUGAGAAAAACGAGGCCCGGAGAAGAUAUUCAGAUAGUUACCUUCCCAGCUGUGACUUCAUGGCUUCUGGCUCUAAAAUCAAGGCCAAAGAGACCCCAAUAAAAAAAGAAAAAGAAGAAGAUGAAAUAGUAGUGGAGGAAGAGAUUAUUAGCACUGGAAAACCUACAGAUGGAAAGGCUAAAAAGAGAUUUUCCUGGUUCCGCAAUAUCAAAGAAUGCAAGCUGUGGAACUUCUUUCAUUUUAAAAAACAUGACAAACAAGUAAAGAAUGUGCACAAGUGGGAAGAAAUUGAUCAAGAGGUAUUGGAUGAUUACUGUCCUUAUUCUACUGAAGCCCCUAAAACAUUGCCAACAGAGUGGACAAAUAUUGAAGUUGGUAAUUGGUUAUGGAGCAUUGGAAUGGAGGAGUAUGUUGUAAAAUUUUAUUGUAAAGGAAUAAAUGGUGAAAAACUCCUUACACUGGACAAUCGCUCUCUAAAAGUAAGUUCAAGAAUUGACUUUAUUUUUUACAAUCCAUUAGACAACAUAUAUAUAUAUACAUAUAUAUAUGUAUAUAUAUAUAAUCACUAA
Long non-coding RNA from Monodelphis domestica (gray short-tailed opossum), 1935 nucleotides. NCBI's taxonomy places the organism in Eukaryota, Metazoa, Chordata, Mammalia, Didelphimorphia, Didelphidae. The record is from Ensembl.